Acipenser ruthenus (sterlet) is the source of this 745-nucleotide long non-coding RNA. RefSeq lists it as uncharacterized. The record is from RefSeq and is a predicted model, not a curated record. The transcript is spliced from 3 exons. Lineage: Eukaryota; Metazoa; Chordata; Actinopteri; Acipenseriformes; Acipenseridae.
AGUAGCCUUGUUAUAGUUACUUAUAACUAAUACAAACUCUAUGCCAGUAAGAAUAUCCAAAAUUACUGUUGCCAGUAAUUUAACAUCAAGGCUAAAGAAAGGGAUUAAAAAAUAUAUAUAAUAAGUUAAUUGAAAGGGAAUGGGUAGUUAUAGAAAUAGUUUGUUCUAUGCAACAAAUAACCUGUCAAAACUAUUAUGUAUAAUACAAUACAAACUGAACUAUACUUUAGUGAUCCGUACAGUAUUUUUGUAGUUGGAUUUUUAUUGUAAACAGAGGCAUUGUGGAUCUAGGCGCAGCGCCCUGUCUUCAUCUGUUAUGGGAGGAAAUAGGUGACUCCAUGCUCUUUUCAUGAAACGGAUGCAUCGUGGCUCUGGGCGCAGGAUCCUGUCUAUUAUGGGAGAAUGUGAAGUUGUUGACUCCUUCAUGCUCUGGUCAUGGGAAGCCGUCCGACUUCUGAUACACUUUUCCUUAUCAACUUUGCGCCUUACAUGGGAGGCUGAAGCAAGGAGAUGUUUGUUGGCAAGUUUGUCGUUUUCCACACAUUGAUACAUGCAUAUGUCUUGCAGUUUCAUGUUUAGCUUUUUGGUUUAAUACUGCACUUCGCUAAUUUAUCUACACUUGUCUGUGUUAACCCAGUAAUGUAAAGUAGUUAUUUUCUAAGUAUUUUAUGUUGUUAAAUUGUGGUCGUUAUUUCCCUGCUUGAUUACGUCUUGGAUUCAUUGUGUAAUAAAGUUGUAUUGUUUA